Bufo gargarizans (Asiatic toad) is the source of this 679-nucleotide long non-coding RNA. RefSeq lists it as uncharacterized. The transcript has 3 exons. NCBI's taxonomy places the organism in Eukaryota, Metazoa, Chordata, Amphibia, Anura, Bufonidae. The record is from RefSeq and is a predicted model, not a curated record.
GGAGUGACUGGAGUCUGAGUCCAUGGUCCAAUAAUCACUCCUCCUACGCGGCUGCCUUCGCUUCUUCAUCCGAUUGGUGGUAUUCCAGGUAAACACUCUGUCCCCAUCAAAGUCCUGUUUGUCCCGUAAGAACUUAUCCCUUUUCUUUUCCUUGAUUUCUUUUUGGGUGUUGAUUAGCUUAGUGUCCAGGCGUCUUUCAAAAUCACUAUACUGUUUUUCUGUUAGACGGGUUGACAGUUCCGCUUUUGCCUUACUUAAUUCCAGUUUUACGGAGUGAUAUUCUCUUUCAUUUCUUUUUAAGACCAUGUCUUGAAUUUUUAGUGAGAACUUUAAGUGUGCAUUGCGCCACUCCAAGGCAAAAUCCGCGUCCUCCUGGUAUUGUGACAUGUCCUUAUAUAUCCUGAGCCCUCUUGGGACCCGUCUGCUCUCUGCUCACCACUGCAAAUAAAGAAGAUUUGAUUCAGCGCAAAGAAGGGGCUCCUACAAUAUAGGAUCCGCUCAGUGGAUAUCUUCUAUAUAAGAUCCUUCUCCUGAUUGACCCGACAAGGAUGGACAGGGACAAUAUGGCAGAGAGUAUAAUAAAUCUCACCCUAGAGAUCCUCUUCCGGCUUACUGGAGAGGACUACACAGUAGUGAAGAAGACCUCUAGUGAGCGCUGUCAGGCCCCUGUGUCUGAAGG